This 425-nucleotide unclassified non-coding RNA is filed under the name uncultured fungus. RNAcentral's name for it is "partial contains small subunit ribosomal RNA, internal transcribed spacer 1, and 5.8S ribosomal RNA". The stretch from base 1 to 73 matches the Rfam family "Eukaryotic small subunit ribosomal RNA", at positions 1759 to 1831 of the family's 1831-position model. Lineage: Eukaryota; Fungi. The record is from RNAcentral.
GCAAACUUGGUCAUUUAGAGGAAGUAAAAGUCGUAACAAGGUUUCCGUAGGUGAACCUGCGGAAGGAUCAUUAUUGAAACAAAAUCAAGUAGACUGUUGCUGGUUUUCUUUCAGAAGCAUGUGCACGUCUAUUUUAUUUUCAAUUCUCCUGUGCACUAUCGGUGGAUCUUUGCACGACACACAAAACAAGUGAUUAUUAUUGCUUCAAAGAAAUUUAUUUUUCUUUGAUCAGAGAGGCCUGCUGUUUUAAUGUUGUUAUACAGACAGCUCUUCUUGUCAAUCAUUGUGUUGUGUUGUUCUGGAAGAUCUUGCCGCUUUACAAUCAUAUACACUGUCGUAUCAGAAUGUUUUUGUUAUGUCAAAAUAAUGAUCAUAUAACUUUCAACAACGGAUCUCUUGGCUCUCGCAUCGAUGAAGAACGCAGC